This is a long non-coding RNA of Telopea speciosissima, 193 nucleotides long. RefSeq lists it as uncharacterized. The transcript is spliced from 3 exons. Lineage: Eukaryota; Viridiplantae; Streptophyta; Magnoliopsida; Proteales; Proteaceae. The record is from RefSeq and is a predicted model, not a curated record.
AGUCCAAAUAGAGGAGGAGGGUUGGUGCGUCAGGUCAGCAGUCGGCACUAGAAAAACCCCAGCCUUGAUGCGUCAGGUCAACAGCCGGCAUUAGAAAAAACCCUAGCCAAACCCUUUUUACAUGGAUUCUAGAACAUUAUAUUAUCAAGGUUAUUCUAGGGCGUUCCCCGCCAAAAUAAGUGACGAGCUACAC